UGGGGAAUAUUGGACAAUGGGGGGAACCCUGAUCCAGCCAUGCCGCGUGUGUGAAGAAGGCCUUAUGGUUGUAAAGCACUUUAAGCGAGGAGGAGGGUACUGGUAUUAAUACUACCAGCUACUGGACGUUACUCGCAGAAUAAGCACCGGCUAACGCUGUGCCAGCAGCCGCGGUAAUACAGAGGGUGCGAGCGUUAAUCGGAUUUACUGGGCGUAAAGCGUGCGUAGGCGGCUGAUUAAGUCGGAUGUGAAAUCCCUGAGCUUAACUUAGGAAUUGCAUUCGAUACUGGUCAGCUAGAGUAUGGGAGAGGAUGGUAGAAUUCCAGGUGUAGCGGUGAAAUGCGUAGAGAUCUGGAGGAAUACCGAUGGCGAAGGCAGCCAUCUGGCCUAAUACUGACGCUGAGGUACGAAAGCAUGGGGAGCAAACAGG
Molecule: ribosomal RNA, 430 nt
Filed under: Pseudomonadota bacterium
Lineage: Bacteria; Pseudomonadati; Pseudomonadota
Description: Proteobacteria bacterium partial 16S ribosomal RNA
Rfam family: Bacterial small subunit ribosomal RNA
Source: RNAcentral